This 72-nucleotide transfer RNA is filed under the name candidate division MSBL1 archaeon SCGC-AAA261F17. RNAcentral describes it as "candidate divison MSBL1 archaeon SCGC-AAA261F17 tRNA". It matches the Rfam family "tRNA". Rfam says of the family: Transfer RNA (tRNA) molecules are approximately 80 nucleotides in length. Their secondary structure includes four short double-helical elements and three loops (D, anti-codon, and T loops). Further hydrogen bonds mediate the characteristic L-shaped molecular structure. tRNAs have two regions of fundamental functional importance: the anti-codon, which is responsible for specific mRNA codon recognition, and the 3' end, to which the tRNAs corresponding amino acid is attached (by aminoacyl-tRNA synthetases). tRNAs cope with the degeneracy of the genetic code in two manners: having more than one tRNA (with a specific anti-codon) for a particular amino acid; and 'wobble' base-pairing, i.e. permitting non-standard base-pairing at the 3rd anti-codon position. The record is from Rfam by way of RNAcentral. Lineage: Archaea; Methanobacteriati; Methanobacteriota.
GGGGAGUUGGUGUAAUGGCAGCACCCUUGGUUUGGCAUUCAAGAGGUCCGGGUUCGAUUCCCGGGCUCCCCA